Molecule: ribosomal RNA, 511 nt
Filed under: uncultured bacterium
Lineage: Bacteria
Description: bacterial SSU rRNA
Rfam family: Bacterial small subunit ribosomal RNA
Source: RNAcentral
AACGAACGCUGGCGGCGUGCUUAACACAUGCAAGUCGAACGCGAAAGGGACUUCGGUCCUGAGUAAAGUGGCGCACGGGUGAGUAACGCGUAGAUGACCUGUCUUCAUGUCUGGAAUAAUACGCCGAAAGGGGUACUAAUACCGGAUAUUCUUGCUUUUCAUAAGUUAUGCAAGCAAAGGUGGCCUCUGCAUAUGCUACUGCAUGAAGAGGGGUCUGCGUACCAUUAGCUAGUAGGUGGGGUAAUGGCCUACCUAGGCGACGAUGGUUAGCGGGUCUGAGAGGAUGAUCCGCCACACUGGCACUGGAACACGGGCCAGACUCCUACGGGAGGCAGCAGUGAGGAAUAUUGCGCAAUGGGGGAAACCCUGACGCAGCGACGCCGCGUGAGUGAGGAAAGGCCUUCGGGUCGUAAAGCUCUGUCAAGAGGAAAGAAGUGUACAAUGGCUAAUACCUGUUGUAUUUGACGGUACCUCUAAAGGAAGCACCGGCUAACUCCGUGCCAGCAGCUGC